Homo sapiens (human) is the source of this 1055-nucleotide long non-coding RNA. The record is from Ensembl. Lineage: Eukaryota; Metazoa; Chordata; Mammalia; Primates; Hominidae.
GAUGAAUGAUAAGUAUCUUCCCAAGCUAAGAAACUAGGGGCUGCACGAAGGAAACAAAACAAGGGAAUCAAAGAAAAGGGUUUUGCAUCAAAACAGAUGCAGCAAGAAAAGCCGCAUCUCAAUGCCGUUGUGACUUUAUGAAGGUGGACAAUCCUGGUUGAGCAGAGAUAUUGCAGAUGUCUCCCCUGUCAUGGAGGAUAACCUGCCUUCCCAGCUUGUCUUACAGAUGCUGAAGAAGCUCCCAAAAUAUAGUUGGGAUUUUAGUAACAAAUAUCCUAUGAGUUGCUGAAUUGAAUUCAGUAAUCUCAGAAAACCCAGCCUGGCCCUCCAAACUCAAGCCUCUCCACUGGGUCUCACACCUUGACAGUAUGCUCCAUCGCACCGCCAUUUCUACACCCCACGCCUGGGCCUGGCUGAAACUUCAAGGCUCCCCUUGGAAGGCAGCCCAUCUUUGAGGUCAGAAGAAAACACUGUCAUUCUGAAAGUUGGCCACUCACCUUCGAAAUAUCCCAUCCCUAUGGUUUUUUUGUUGUUGUUUGUUUUGUUUAAAGGCAACAAAACGGCUAGUCUGUGACCCAUACCAGAGGUGUUAAAACAGAAGGAUUAACUCUAGACUUGGCCCCAAGUGCUGGCAGAUGUUUUUGAGAACGGAGUUGGGGAUGUUUGAGAACACUGAGAACUCACGCUUGUAACGUGCAGAUGUGGCGAACCUGGAGUGAGUUCAGAGAAGUGACAAAGAUGAUGAAAGGGCUAAAGAAUGGUUUCUGAGGGAAGGCUGAAGGGAUUCUUUUUGCCUUUAUCCCAAGAAAUGAGAAAAUAAUGAUUAUUAACUUCAAAGCCAGUUUGCUCUUCAUGUCUGCAACAAACCCAAUGAAUGGAAAUAGGCUCGAAUUAAAAGCAGGAGAGAAUUGGGUGAGGUAAAAGGAAGACUUUCUUGUGCUUCAGAGGAAGAAAUAUGGCAAUCUGAGGUCAUGGAGUACAGAUGUGUAUACAGAUUUUAAUAGAGGGAUAGACCACACAUUUUUUAUAAUUAAACUUGACUUCUCAUUUUUUAA